GACGAACGCUGGCGGCGUGCUUAACACAUGCAAGUCGAACGGUGAAGCGCCUUCCUUUUUGGUGGGUGUGGAUGAGUGGCGAACGGGUGAGUAACACGUGAGUAACCUGCCCCCUUCUUCUGGAUAACCGCAUGAAAGUGUGGCUAAUACGGGAUAUUCUGGGUCUGUCGCAUGAUGGGUCUGGGAAAGAUAUUGUUUCGGUGGGGGAUGGGCUCGCGGCCUAUCAGCUUGUUGGUGGGGUGAUGGCCUACCAAGGCGGUGACGGGUAGCCGGCCUGAGAGGGUCGACGGUAACACUAGGAAUGAGAGACCGCCACGCCUCCUACGGGAGGCAGCAGGGGGGAAUAGUGCACAAUGGGCGCAAGGCUGAUGCAGCGACGCCGCGUGAGGGAUGGAGGCCUGCGGGUUGUGAACCUCUUUCGCCAGUGAAGCAGGCCUGCCUCGUUUGUGGGUGGGUUGACGGUAGCUGGAGAAGAAGCGCCGGCUAACUACGUG
RNAcentral lists this ribosomal RNA (494 nucleotides) under uncultured bacterium. RNAcentral's name for it is "partial 16S ribosomal RNA". It matches the Rfam family "Bacterial small subunit ribosomal RNA", at positions 28 to 507 of the family's 1533-position model. The record is from RNAcentral.